This 152-nucleotide ribosomal RNA is filed under the name uncultured Acinetobacter sp. Its description in RNAcentral is "partial 16S ribosomal RNA". It matches the Rfam family "Bacterial small subunit ribosomal RNA", at positions 378 to 521 of the family's 1533-position model. The record is from RNAcentral. Lineage: Bacteria; Pseudomonadati; Pseudomonadota; Gammaproteobacteria; Moraxellales; Moraxellaceae.
GGACCCUGAUCCAGCCAUGCCGCGUGUGUGAAGAAGGGCUUAUGGUUGUAAAGCACUUUAAGCGAGGAGGAGGCUACUAGUAUUAAUACUACUGGAUAGUGGACGUUACUCGCAGAAUAAGCACCGGCUAACUCUGUGCCAGCAGCCGCGGU